CAGGCCUAACACAUGCAAGUCAAACGGCCCUUCGGGGCAGUGGCGCACGGGUGCGUAACGCGUGGGAAUAUGCCCUUGAGUGCGGAAUAACGGCUGGAAACGGUCGCUAUACCGCAUAAUGACUCCGGUCCUAAGAUUUAUCGCUCAAGGAUUAGCCCGCGUCAGAUUAGCUUGUUGGUGAGGUAAAAGCUCACCAAGGCGACGAUCUGUAGGGGGUCUGAGAGGAUGAUCCCCCACACUGGUACUGAGACACGGACCAGACUCCUACGGGAGGCAGCAGUGAGGAAUAUUGGACAAUGGAGGAAACUCUGAUCCAGCCAUGCCGCGUGUAUGAAGACGGCCUUAGGGUUGUAAAGUACUUUCAAACGUGAAGAUAAUGACGGUAGCGUUAGAAGAAGCUCCGGCUAAAUUCGUGCCAGCAGCCGCGGUAAUACGAAUGGAGCAAGCGUUGUUCGGAAUCACUGGGCUUAAAGCGUAUGUAGGCGGAUCAUAAAGUCAGGAGUGAAAUCCCGGGGCUCAGCCCCGGAACUGCUCUUGAAACUCAUGAUCUAGAAUACUGGAGAGGUUGGGAGAAUCCCUAGUGUAGAGGUGAAAUUCGCAGAUAUUAGGAGGAAUACCAGUGGCGUGGGCGCCCAACUGGACAGUUAUU
This 649-nucleotide ribosomal RNA is filed under the name uncultured bacterium. Its description in RNAcentral is "bacterial SSU rRNA". It matches the Rfam family "Bacterial small subunit ribosomal RNA", at positions 43 to 741 of the family's 1533-position model. The record is from RNAcentral.